Molecule: long non-coding RNA, 1409 nt
Organism: Mus musculus (house mouse)
Lineage: Eukaryota; Metazoa; Chordata; Mammalia; Rodentia; Muridae
Product: cDNA sequence AY036118
Exons: 2
Source: RefSeq, a predicted model, not a curated record
AUGACAAUUGGAAUAUAUUCGUUAAGCAACCACAGAUUAAACCAAUUGGCUUUUAUCGCAAACACUACCCUUGGUCAGAUGCCAAAAAUUCACUCUUUGAAAAACAAUAGGAACGGAAUAUGGAGAACUCUGCACAUGCCACAGUAUACAAAGACAGAAUCCGGUGGUACUCCAAUCCACCGUGCCUAUUCUCAAAUGGGUAAAGGCUCCAGAAGAGUCAUGGUCAUGGCUGAUGAUGGAAGGAAAGAGCCGCCCGAACGACCGACUUCCCUACGGGCCCCACCGCCCCCCGACCCUGGGGGCGGCAGGGCGACCCCCCCGGGGUCUUUAAACCUCCGCGCCGGAACGCGACAGCUAGGUACCCGGGACAGGAGCGGGGAGGACACGCGAGGCCAGAAAAGCGUGGCAUCGGGACGGGCGAACCCACACGCGACACUCACAUCCCCCCACACGCGACAACCGCCCCAGCCAACGUAGAAAAGCCAGAGCCGCGGCGGGGAUGGGUGCCGGGAGAGCAAAGCGCGCGCCCCGACGACCGAACGCCCCCGGGACGGGUCAAAAACCCGUAACGACGUACCGCCCCUCGUAGACACGGAAGAGCCGGACGGGAAAGAGGCACGACGCCCGCGAGCAGCCGCCGCCGCGGUAGGGUGGCGAGGUCAGAGCCGGACGAGGGAGAGGGGAGGGGGAGGGGAAAUCGGAGGCGGUCCCAGACGGACCCAGACCGACCCCACCCACCCCUUCUCUCACCUCACUCCAGACACCUCGCUCCACACGCGGGCGACGGGACCCGGGACGCACGCGCCUCCCGGCGAGGACACACACAAGACGGGGAGAGCGAGCCACGCCGCCGCUCCUCCACAGUCUCCCGUUAAUGAUCCUUCCGCAGGUUCACCUACGGAAACCUUGUUACGACUUUUACUUCCUCUAGAUAGUCAAGUUCGACCGUCUUCUCAGCGCUCCACCAGGGCCGUGGGCCUCACUAAACCAUCCAAUCGGUAGUAGCGACGGGCGGUGUGUACAAAGGGCAGGGACUUAAUCAACGCAAGCUUAUGGCCCGCACUUACUGGGAAUUCCUCGUUCAUGGGGAAUAAUUGCAAUCCCCGAUCCCCAUCACGAAUGGGGUUCAACGGGUUACCCGCGCCUGCCGGCGUAGGGUAGGCACACGCUGAGCCAGUCAGUGUAGCGCGCGUGCAGCCCCGGACAUCUAAGGGCAUCACAGACCUGUUAUUGCUCAAUCUCGGGUGGCUGAACGCCACUUGUCCCUCUAAGAAGUUGGGGGACGCCGACCGCUCGGGGGUCGCGUAACUAGUUAGCAUGCCAGAGUCUCGUUCGUUAUCGGAAUUAACCAGACAAAUCGCUCCACCAACUAAGAACGGCCAUGCACCACCACCCACGGAAUCGAGAAA